AUUGAACGCUGGCGGCAGGCUUAACACAUGCAAGUCGAACGGUAGCACAUAGGAGUUUGCUCCUUGGGUGACGAGUGGCGGACGGGUGAGUAAUGCUUGGGAAUCUGGCUUAUGGAGGGGGAUAACUACUGGAAACGGUAGCUAAUACCGCGUAAUGUCUUAGGACUAAAGGGUGGGACCAUUUGGCCACCUGCCAUAAGAUGAGCCCAAGUGGGAUUAGGUAGUUGGUGAGGUAAAGGCUCACCAAGCCCGCGAUCUCUAGCUGGUCUGAGAGGAUGACCAGCCACACUGGAACUGAGACACGGUCCAGACUCCUACGGGAGGCAGCAGUGGGGAAUAUUGCACAAUGGGGGGAACCCUGAUGCAGCCAUGCCGCGUGAAUGAAGAAGGCCUUCGGGUUGUAAAGUUCUUUCGGUGACGAGGAAGGCGAUUGUUUUAAUAGAACAGUCGAUUGACGUUAAUCACAGAAGAAGCACCGGCUAACUCCGU
This 489-nucleotide ribosomal RNA is filed under the name Mannheimia haemolytica. Its description in RNAcentral is "bacterial SSU rRNA". It matches the Rfam family "Bacterial small subunit ribosomal RNA", at positions 30 to 506 of the family's 1533-position model. The record is from RNAcentral. Lineage: Bacteria; Pseudomonadati; Pseudomonadota; Gammaproteobacteria; Pasteurellales; Pasteurellaceae.